This 497-nucleotide ribosomal RNA is filed under the name uncultured bacterium. RNAcentral describes it as "partial 16S ribosomal RNA". It matches the Rfam family "Bacterial small subunit ribosomal RNA", at positions 28 to 507 of the family's 1533-position model. The record is from RNAcentral.
GACGAACGCUGGCGGCGUGCCUAAUACAUGCAAGUUGAGCGCUGAAGGUUGGUACUUGUACCAACUGGAUGAGCAGCGAACGGGUGAGUAACGCGUGGGGAAUCUGCCUUUGAGCGGGGGACAACAUUUGGAAACGAAUGCUAAUACCGCAUAAAAACUUUAAACACAAGUUUUAAGUUUGAAAGAUGCAAUUGCAUCACUCAAAGAUGAUCCCGCGUUGUAUUAGCUAGUUGGUGAGGUAAAGGCUCACCAAGGCGACGAUACAUAGCCGACCUGAGAGGGUGAUCGGCCACAUUGGGACUGAGACACGGCCCAAACUCCUACGGGAGGCAGCAGUAGGGAAUCUUCGGCAAUGGACGAAAGUCUGACCGAGCAACGCCGCGUGAGUGAAGGAGGUUUUCGGAUCGUAAAACUCUGUUGGUAGAGAAGAACGUUGGUGAGAGUGGAAAGCUCAUCAAGUGACGGUAACUACCCAGAAAGGGACGGCUAACUACGUG